GCCUAGCAUGUCUUGACUAAAACCAAAACCUUAAAUGAGGAUGCUAAAAUUCUCCAAAAUGUAUUUUAACAGGAACUAGCUUUAGGGGAAGGAAGAAAGCCAACUGCUCAGGAAAGAGGGUUCACUCAGCCUGUGUAACGUUCAAAGAGAGAACACGAAAUCCUUCCUCUCAGGUUCUUCCUCAGGUUGGUGUGGAGGAUCUUUCACUGUU
Molecule: long non-coding RNA, 211 nt
Filed under: Numida meleagris (helmeted guineafowl)
Lineage: Eukaryota; Metazoa; Chordata; Aves; Galliformes; Numididae
Description: lncRNA (ENSNMEG00000017496.1)
Source: RNAcentral